Small nucleolar RNA from Phyllostomus hastatus (greater spear-nosed bat), 109 nucleotides. RefSeq annotates it as small nucleolar RNA SNORA5. The transcript has a single exon. The record is from RefSeq and is a predicted model, not a curated record. NCBI's taxonomy places the organism in Eukaryota, Metazoa, Chordata, Mammalia, Chiroptera, Phyllostomidae.
GGCAGGCACUGGCCCGGAGGCUGCCACAGAAACACCGAAGAUGACUCCUGGGUCCUGGGCCCUGGUCCUGCCUGCUGGGCCUCAGGGAUAAGUUUGGUUACAGAUGCCG